Molecule: ribosomal RNA, 480 nt
Filed under: Sebastapistes fowleri (pigmy scorpionfish)
Lineage: Eukaryota; Metazoa; Chordata; Actinopteri; Perciformes; Scorpaenidae
Description: partial small subunit ribosomal RNA
Rfam family: Bacterial small subunit ribosomal RNA
Source: RNAcentral
CACUAUGCAUAGCCCUAAACACCGGCAGACACCCACAUUUACUUAACUGCCCGCCUGGAUAUUACGAGCACUAGCUUAAAAUCCAAAGGACUUGGCGGUGCUUCAGACCCCCCUAGAGGAGCCUGUUCUAGAACCGAUUAUCCCCGUUCAACCUCACCUUUCCUUGCCCAAAUCCGCCUAUAUACCUCCGUCGUCAGCUGACCUCAUGAGAGAUCCACAGUUAGCACAACUGGCACAGCCAAAUACGUCAGGUCGAGGUGUAGCUUAUGGAAAGGGAAGAAAUGGGCUACAUUCUCUAUAAUAGAGCAUACGAACGAAAUGCUGAAAUACCAUUUCUGAAGGAGGAUUUAGCAGUAAGUAAGGAGUAGAGUGCCCUACUGAAGCCGGCUCUGAAGCGCGUACACACCGCCCGUCACUCUCCCCGAUAAAUAAUACCAACUACUUAAAAACUAAAAACAACAGAGGGGAGGCAAGUCGUAA